Molecule: long non-coding RNA, 263 nt
Filed under: Ricinus communis (castor bean)
Lineage: Eukaryota; Viridiplantae; Streptophyta; Magnoliopsida; Malpighiales; Euphorbiaceae
Description: long non-coding RNA (RCOM_LNC003704)
Source: RNAcentral
UCGUCUCAGCCUCAGCAUAAAGAUAGCCCACAUGCCACCAGUGCUUCGUCAAAAACAUCCAAAUUUCCACCAACAGCCCGUGUCCAGCCUCAACAAAAGCACAGACGCCUGCUAGAAAUGUAUCAUCGACCAGAUCCAAACUCCUCGCAACAGGGAGUGCGCAUAAGCUUCGGCCACACAAGGUCAGGCAAUACAAUUGAAUGACAUGCCCUCUCAGUGCAACAUCCGCCUAAUAACACGCCCAAGCUUAGAGAUCAACUCCA